AUUUUGAGCUACACGGGGUCAACAGGAGCUGUCUAGCUCGACUUAUGUUCAUUUAAACGCACUGGACUCAUAGGUCCAGAAUUCCUUGCAUAAAAACAACACUUCCAAUACCACCUUCCCACACUAUUACCAUCCACAAAUCACAUUCCAUGCACUUCAAUUAGUCCAUAAUUGGUCUCAACAUCAACAAUUUAUCAACAUAUCAUUAAAUUCCUAAUUUUUAUAUCAAACCCUAGCUCCAAUUCAAGAUUUACACAACACAUAUCACAUUAGGCAUACUAAUCAAUUUCUAAUUGAUGUCUACACAUCAAACACCAUUUCUAAGCCAUUCAAAUCCAUAAAAAGCCAUCAAACCCUACAUCCUUUCAUGGCUGCCAAAAUCUAGGUCUUUCUUUUCACGUAUGGAUUUCAAUUUUUUCCAUGUAAUUUACUCAUACUUAACCUUGAUUUAAACAUUAGAAAGGAAAAGAAGAGAGAAGCUAGUACUAACCUCUUAGUGAGCAAUUCCCAACUUCCAAAACUUCUUGAUUUCCAAUUCUUUUUGCUGCUUCUAGCUUGCCCAAAGUGUAAGCUCAAAUUUUAUUAAAGAGAGGUAGGGUUUUUAUGGUGGGUUUAAGUGGGAAAGGAAGCUUUGUUGAAGGAAAAUGGUGGAGCUCUCAUGGAAGAUGGUUUAGCCAGCCACAAGGAGAAAGAAGAUGGGCAGAUUUUUAAUUUCAUUUUCAGCCCCUUUUUGUGUUUUAAGUGUAUUUGGUGAAUGGCGAUUGGUGGAAGAGGUUUUUAAUGACAUCAUCUUAUGUCAUAAUUAGAUUUUACUUUAUUUUUAUUUUCUUUUUCUUUCUUCUUCCUUUACUUAUUUUUAAUAAAAUUUUUCUUCACUAGUAACUCACAUUUUAUGUCAUAAAUCUCAUUUACUUAAAUGGACAAGUUGGUCAAAAAUCAUCUCUGAAGACGAAAUGACCAAAAUGUCCUCCGUUUGGCUUAUUAAGCCAAAAUCGUCUGUACUGAUCGAAAAUUAUUUUUAAACCUUUUCUUGGCAUUCUAAUGCCAAAGAAAUCUCAAUGACUCUUCUCUGGAGUCCUAAAAAUUAUUUCAUGAAUUUUCUCUCGGGUUUAGGGCUUCUAGCUGCGAAGACCGCAACUUCCCACUGGGUUACCCAUCACUAAGGCACCGACUCAUUUAACUUGAUUGUAUUUUAUUUCUAAAAUUUUUACUAAAUUUUUCUUAUUAAUAUUUG
RNAcentral lists this unclassified non-coding RNA (1234 nucleotides) under Hevea brasiliensis (rubber tree). Lineage: Eukaryota; Viridiplantae; Streptophyta; Magnoliopsida; Malpighiales; Euphorbiaceae. The record is from RNAcentral.